GAAGGUGGCAAGCGUUGUUCGGAUUUACUGGGCGUACAGGAGCGUAGGCGGUUGGGGUAAGCCCUCCGUGAAAUCUCCAGGCUUAACCUGGAAAGUGCAGAGGGGACUGCUCAGCUAGAGGAUGGGAGAGGAGCGCGGAAUUCCCGGUGUAGCGGUGAAAUGCGUAGAGAUCGGGAGGAAGGCCGGUGGCGAAGGCGGCGCUCUGGAACAUUUCUGACGCUGAGGCUCGAAAGCGUGGGGAGCAAACAGGAUUAGAUACCCUGGUAGUCCACGCCUUAAACGAUGGAUACUAAGUGUCGGCGGGUUACCGCCGGUGCCGCAGCUAACGCAGUAAGUAUCCCGCCUGGGAAGUACGGCCGCAAGGUUG
Molecule: ribosomal RNA, 367 nt
Filed under: uncultured organism
Description: partial 16S ribosomal RNA
Rfam family: Bacterial small subunit ribosomal RNA
Source: RNAcentral